CCUGGACUCAGUGGGUCCUCCUGCCUCAGCAUCCUGAGUAGCUGGGACUACAGCCUGGUUGCAGAGUGAGCCCAUGGGACAGCCCUCUGAAAUUAUACUGCUUACAACCAUGCUGAGUCUGCAAGGACUUCGUCCAAGCCUUUCCGUCCAGGACCUCAAACAGAUCCAAUCACAAGAAGAGAGAUUUCAGGAAAGAGAAAAUUAUUCCUAUCAUCGGGGUUUUUGAAGAACAUGAAAUGACUGGGAAAAUAAUCAUGUUAAGUGGAAAAAAAAAAGAAAUCUAUCUGUUGUAAUUUUCAAAUAAUUUUUAAAUAAAUUUGAAAAAUUAAGAGAACUAUAUAUAUAA
Molecule: long non-coding RNA, 346 nt
Filed under: Homo sapiens (human)
Lineage: Eukaryota; Metazoa; Chordata; Mammalia; Primates; Hominidae
Description: PREDICTED lncRNA (TCONS_00074548)
Source: RNAcentral